RNAcentral lists this ribosomal RNA (442 nucleotides) under uncultured bacterium. Its description in RNAcentral is "partial 16S ribosomal RNA". It matches the Rfam family "Bacterial small subunit ribosomal RNA", at positions 338 to 795 of the family's 1533-position model. The record is from RNAcentral.
CCUACGGGUGGCAGCAGUGGGGAAUAUUGGGCAAUGGACGCAAGUCUGACCCAGCAACGCCGCGUGAAGGAAGAAGGCUUUCGGGUUGUAAACUUCUUUUAAGGGGGAAGAGCAGAAGACGGUACCCCUUGAAUAAGCCACGGCUAACUACGUGCCAGCAGCCGCGGUAAUACGUAGGUGGCAAGCGUUGUCCGGAUUUACUGGGUGUAAAGGGCGUGCAGCCGGAGAGACAAGUCAGAUGUGAAAUCCGCAGGCUCAACCUGCGAACUGCAUUUGAAACUGUUUCCCUUGAGUAUCGGAGAGGUCAUCGGAAUUCCUAGUGUAGCGGUGAAAUGCGUAGAUAUCACGAAGAACCCCGAUUGCGAAGGCAGCCUGCCGCAGCGUUACUGACGCUGAAGCUCGAAAGCGCGGGUAUCGAACAGGAUUAGAUACCCGAGUAGUC